Molecule: ribosomal RNA, 440 nt
Filed under: uncultured bacterium
Lineage: Bacteria
Description: partial 16S ribosomal RNA
Rfam family: Bacterial small subunit ribosomal RNA
Source: RNAcentral
CCUACGGGUGGCUGCAGUGGGGAAUAUUGCACAAUGGGGGAAACCCUGAUGCAGCGACGCCGCGUGAAGGAAGAAGUAUUUCGGUAUGUAAACUUCUAUCAGCAGGGAAGAAAAUGACGGUACCUGACUAAGAAGCCCCGGCUAACUACGUGCCAGCAGCCGCGGGAAUACGUAGGGGGCAAGCGUUAUCCGGAUUUACUGGGUGUAAAGGGAGCGUAGGCGGUUUAGCAAGUCAGAAGUGAAAGCCCGGGGAUCAACUCCGGGACUGCUUUUGAAACUGUUGAACUUGAGUGCAGGAGAGGUAAGUGGAAUUCGUAGUGUAGCGGUGAAAUGCGUAGAUAUUAGGAGGAACACCAGUGGCGAAGGCGGCUUACUGGCCUGUAAAUGACGCUGAGGCUCGAAAGCGUGGGGAGCAAACAGGAUUAGAUACCCCUGUAGUC